Molecule: non-coding RNA, 1221 nt
Filed under: synthetic construct
Source: RNAcentral
AAUAUAGGACUGCGUGGGAGGUGUGGCUAGUCUAUUUUCAAAUGCCUGCCCUUAAAGUGCCACAGCUAAAAAAGUUGGAGCCGUCUAGGAGUGACUCCUUCCUGUUGAAGUCAUGGACCAACCUCCUAGCUCUUCUCACACUACUGUUUGUGACAAGUUCAACUGUUCCCAUACUGGCCUCUUUCAGGGGGGUUGGAUUCCCAUGUUAUUUUGUCAACCUGGUGGAUUAUAGCACUUUGAACCUAACAGUGAGAAAUUCUGCAAAGCACUUAACACCCACACUGUUUCUAGAAGGGCCAGAAAUGUUUGUGUACAUAGUAUGGUCAUUCCUAACAGAAGCUAUUAAUAUAAUUUAUUUUAUUUUUGGCGCAGUAACAGUGUACCGUCUGAAGAAAAUCUUCAUGCCCUCCCUGAAUGCCAUACAAGUGUGGCUCACUCUUAUUGGGGGACACUCAACACUUUACCUGUCCAUCGCCAGACUAUGGACACUUCAGCUGUUUGUGCAUGUUUUGAGCUUUAAGCAGAUAUUUCUAGCAGCCUUUGUUUACCUGUUUCAUUUCAUGCUGUCAUAUGUCCAUGUACACGUGUUUAUAUCUAGGUAUGUGCCCCAGUGGCAAGCAAAUGAUAUGGAACAGAAAAUACCUGAAGGCAGCUCUCUAGAAAAACUGGUGUUGUUCUACAGACCAAUUUUGGCCAACAUUCAAAUGUCCCUACUGGCUCUGGAAAUGCUGGUGUUCUCACUGAGUGUCAUGAUGGCAGUUUGUAAUUCUUUUUACAUCCUGGUAUCAGAUGCAGUGUUUGGUGCUGUCAACCUAUUCCUCAUCAUAUCUCUGGUGUGGCAUAUCGGGGCAGAAGUGUUCCUGGCCAAGUACCUAAGACAUCAUGUUGGAUUUUACAUUGGGCUUUUUGUGGCAUAUGUUAUUAUGCUUCUCCCUGUUAUCAGAUAUGAUGCCAUCUUUGUCACCUCGCGGCUUCACAAACCAAUUACUAUUAAUAUGACAAUAAUUCCCAUAAUAUGUCUAAUAAUAAUUGUUGUGAGAAUCAUCAGACUCAGAUCACAGACCAGCACCAAGGUGACUUAUAAGAAAUUGGGUAUUAGCGGCGCCAUGGAAGCACAACCUUUCCAGUCUAUCCCACAACCCCCCAGAGCAAAAUAUACAGACUUGGAGACAGAAUCAGAAGAUGAACUAUAAACAUUUUAUUAAAGUAAUUAAAGCAAAU